RNAcentral lists this ribosomal RNA (254 nucleotides) under uncultured bacterium. RNAcentral's name for it is "partial 16S ribosomal RNA". It matches the Rfam family "Bacterial small subunit ribosomal RNA", at positions 524 to 776 of the family's 1533-position model. The record is from RNAcentral.
UACGUAGGAUCCAAGCGUUAUCCGGAAUUACUGGGCGUAAAGAGUUGCGUAGGUGGUCUGUUAAGUGGAGCGUGAAAGCGUGCGGCUCAACCGCAUUAUUGCGUUCUAAACUGGCAGACUUGAGUAUGAGAGAGGUAGAUGGAAUUUCUAGUGUAGGAGUGAAAUCCGUAGAUAUUAGAAGGAACACCGAUGGCGUAGGCAGUCUACUGGCUCAUUACUGACACUAAGGCACGAAAGCGUGGGGAGCAAACGGG